UAAAAUUAAGAGAUUUAAUUUAUUAAUUAAAUAUUAAUAUUAUCUGAUAUACCUAAGAUCUCCUAAAAUCUUAAGGCUAUAAAUAAAACAUGACAUCCUAGGUUUAGGGUUAGCUACAUAGAUUAAUUACACCCUUUAUUGAACAAAGAGAACUUUAGGUAGUCAAGAGGAUAGUUAGGAAAGAAAGAACUCAAAAUUAGGAAAUAUUUUUUAGAACAAUAAUACUCUUUUCAUCCCAUUAAACACUUAAUCAAACCCCAAAUAGUUGGAUUCAUAUCCACUAUUUGAUUCAACCUCCUCUUCAUCUCUAAAGACUCAAGGAUCAACAUAAUAUGGUGACAAUCUGAGAGUUCUACAAGCCUGCAUCGUUAGCAUCCUCUUUUAUUUCUUUCUUUUCUUUAUGAUCUAGAAACAUGAUUAGGGUUGAUCUUGAAUGCUAUAUGUGAUUUAUAUGAUUAGAUCUAGGGCUAUUAGUAGAUUAGUAUAUUUUUGUGAUGUGUAUGUUGGGUCUUGAGAUCUGAUAACAUGUUCUUAUUUGGGUUCUUGAAUCUAAUGAUUUGAAAGAUUAGGUUAAUAUGUUAGAUUUUUUUUUAUCUUUAUGAUAUUUCUUUUGAUUAUGUGAUUAGAUCUAUAUUUUUAGGAUUUUGUAAUUUAAUUUAAGAUCUGCCAUGUUAGGUUCAUGCCUUCUAUCAGUUGUUAUUUUUUUAUGUUUUACAUGUUUUGAUCUUAUUUAAUUGAAUUUUAUGCUUUUAAUUUGUUAAAUUACAUGUAUUAACCGCUUUUAUCUUAUAUGCAUGUUAAAUCGGCUUCUGGACAAGAGGAUCAAAGAACUAAGGCGAACUCAUCAAUAACCAAGCCCUAAAGUCGAUCGGCUGUUCAUCCAAAUGUGGUCUAAUUUUAGAUUCUCUUUUUUUUGUUGCAAUUUUGGUACUCUGUAACUUAUUUUAUUUGUUUUCCUUUUAUAUUUUAGUUGUAG
RNAcentral lists this long non-coding RNA (976 nucleotides) under Ricinus communis (castor bean). RNAcentral describes it as "long non-coding RNA (RCOM_LNC000647)". Lineage: Eukaryota; Viridiplantae; Streptophyta; Magnoliopsida; Malpighiales; Euphorbiaceae. The record is from RNAcentral.